AUUGAACGCUGGCGGCAUGCCUUACACAUGCAAGUCGAACGGCAGCGCGGGAGCAAUCCUGGCGGCGAGUGGCGAACGGGUGAGUAAUAUAUCGGAACGUGCCCAGUAGUGGGGGAUAGCCCGGCGAAAGCCGGAUUAAUACCGCAUACGACCCGAGGGUGAAAGGGGGGGAUCGCAAGACCUCUCGCUAUUGGAGCGGCCGAUAUCAGAUUAGGUAGUUGGGGGGGUAAAGGCCUACCAAGCCUGCGAUCUGUAGUUGGUCUGGGAGGACGACCGGCCAAACUGGGACUAAGACACGGCCCAGACGCCUACGGAAGGCAGCAGUGGGGAAUGUUGGCCAAUGGGCGCAAGCUUGAUCCAGCAAUGCCGCGUGCAGGAAGAAGGCCUUCGGGUUGUAAACUGCUUUUGUCAGGGAAGAAAUCCUCUAGGCUAAUACCUUGGGGGGAUGACGGUACCUGAAGAAUAAGCACCGGCUAACUACGUGCCAGCCGCCGCGGUAA
This 500-nucleotide ribosomal RNA is filed under the name uncultured bacterium. RNAcentral describes it as "partial 16S ribosomal RNA". It matches the Rfam family "Bacterial small subunit ribosomal RNA", at positions 29 to 523 of the family's 1533-position model. The record is from RNAcentral.